RNAcentral lists this ribosomal RNA (972 nucleotides) under Mycoplasma suis. RNAcentral describes it as "bacterial SSU rRNA". It matches the Rfam family "Bacterial small subunit ribosomal RNA", at positions 358 to 1351 of the family's 1533-position model. The record is from RNAcentral. Lineage: Bacteria; Bacillati; Mycoplasmatota; Mollicutes; Mycoplasmatales; Mycoplasmataceae.
GGAAUUUUUUACAUGGACGAAAGUCUGAUGGAGCAAUACCACGUGAACGAUGAAGGUCUUCUGAUUGUAAAGUUCUUUUAUUUAGGAAAAAAAGCGCUACAGGAAAUGGUCGCGCCCUGAUUGUACUAAUUGAAUAAGUGACAGCUAACUAUGUGCCAGCAGCUGCGGUAAAACAUAGGUCACGAGCAUUAUCCGGAUUUAUUGGGCGUAAAGGAAGCGUAGGCUGAAGUGUGUAUCCAUUGUUAAAAGUACUUGCUUAACAAGUGUUCGCGGUGGAGAUUACACUUCUAGAAUUAGUUAGAGGGCACUGGAAUUCAAUGUGUAGUGGUGGAAUACGUAGAUAUAUUGAGGAACACCGGAGGCUAAGGCGAGUGCCUGGGACAUAAUUGACGCUGAGGCUUGAAAGCGUGGGUAGCAAAUGGGAUUAGAUACCCCASUAGUCCACGCCGUAAACSAUGGGUAUUASUCAUUUGAAUUUAASUUGAGUGAUGUAGCUAACGCSUUUAAUACCCCGCCYGGGUAGYAUAUAUGCAAAUAUGAAACYCAAGAAAUUGACGGGGACGUGCACAAGUGRUGGACCAUUGUGCCUAAUUAUAUAAUACUCGCCAAACCUUACCAAGGUUAGUAAUCUGCUGCCAAGCUAAAUCAAUAAAUUGAAUGUCAUCCGAAUAACCGGUGGUGCAUGGCUGUCGUCAACUCGUGUCUUGAGAUGUUUGGUUAAGUCCCGUAACGAGCGCAACCCUUCAUAUUAGUUGUUUAGUUCUAAUAUGACUGAAUCGUAAGAUCUAGGAAGGAUGGGGCCAAGUCAAGUCAUCAUGCCCCUUAUGCCUUGGGCUGCAAACGUGCUACAAUGGUAGAUACAAUGUGUUACAAUCUAGCGAUAGUGAGUUAAUCACCUAAAGUCUAUCUCAGUCCGGAUAAAAGGCUGCAAUUCGCCUAUUUGAAGAUGGAAUCACUAGUAAUCCCGUAAGG